CAAACUUGCUGCAAAGACUGUGGAAGAGGAUGGGCGGUCAUGAACCUGUACUCAUUUUUGGGCUGAGGUCUCCUUGCCAAUGGCAGACGGGAGCUGUAACCAUAACAACAGAGGACGAAUCCUGUUUCUGGAAUCAGCAGCGGCAGCACUGCUUCCUCACCAGAUCAACAAAACACUGUUUCUGAUGAACAAUGCCCAGAUACCCUGUUGCAUCUCUCUC
This is a long non-coding RNA of Engraulis encrasicolus (European anchovy), 220 nucleotides long. RefSeq lists it as uncharacterized. The transcript is spliced from 3 exons. The record is from RefSeq and is a predicted model, not a curated record. NCBI's taxonomy places the organism in Eukaryota, Metazoa, Chordata, Actinopteri, Clupeiformes, Engraulidae.